Long non-coding RNA from Amblyraja radiata (thorny skate), 239 nucleotides. RefSeq lists it as uncharacterized. The record is from RefSeq and is a predicted model, not a curated record. The transcript has 3 exons. Lineage: Eukaryota; Metazoa; Chordata; Chondrichthyes; Rajiformes; Rajidae.
GGAAAAUGGUGGACAUGGGGGAGAGUUUGUUGCAAAGACAGAAAACAGUUUAAUGAUGCUAGGGGUGUGGGGAAAUUGGUGGUCAAGGUGGAGAGUUUGGUCCCUAGAGGAAGACAGCCGGGAAUAAAGGGAGUGGUGUAUGGGAUGUAUGAUGGCUUGUCUGAGAAGGAGAUCUUAGAAAAUGUUAAGGGGGCCCAGGUAACUGAUGUUGUGAGAUUUAAGAGUAGGAAUGGAGUCAG